CGUAGGAGACGAGCGUUAUCCGGAUUUACUGGGCGUAAAGCGUGUGCAGGCGGUUCGGCAAGUUGGAUGUGAAAUCUCCCGGCUCAACGGGGAGGGGUCGUUCAAAACUACCGAACUUGAGGUCAUCAGAGGAAGGUGGAAUUCCGGGUGUAGUGGUGAAAUGCGUAGAUAUCCGGAGGAACACCAGUGGCGAAGGCGGCCUUCUGGGAUGAUCCUGACGCUCAGACACGAAAGCUAGGGGGAGCGAACGGGAUUAGAGACCCCGGUAGUCCUAGCUGUAAACGAUGUAGACUUGGCGUCGGAGGGUUCAAAACCUUCGGUGUCGUAGCUAACGCGAUAAGUCUACCGCCUGGGGACUACGGCCGCAAGGUUA
RNAcentral lists this ribosomal RNA (373 nucleotides) under uncultured organism. RNAcentral's name for it is "bacterial SSU rRNA". It matches the Rfam family "Bacterial small subunit ribosomal RNA", at positions 526 to 896 of the family's 1533-position model. The record is from RNAcentral.